RNAcentral lists this ribosomal RNA (253 nucleotides) under uncultured bacterium. RNAcentral describes it as "partial 16S ribosomal RNA". It matches the Rfam family "Bacterial small subunit ribosomal RNA", at positions 524 to 776 of the family's 1533-position model. The record is from RNAcentral.
GACGUAGGGCGCAAGCGUUGUCCGGAUUUAUUGGGCGUAAAGAGCUCGUAGGCGGCUCGUUGCGUCGGCUGUGAAAACCCGCAGCUCAACUGUGGGCUUGCAGCCGAUACGGGCGGGCUGGAGUUCGGUAGGGGAGACUGGAAUUCCUGGUGUAGCGGUGAAAUGCGCAGAUAUCAGGAGGAACACCGGUGGCGAAGGCGGGUCUCUGGGCCAUUACUGACGCUGAGGAGCGAAAGCGUGGGGAGCGAACAGG